This 375-nucleotide ribosomal RNA is filed under the name Serratia symbiotica. RNAcentral describes it as "bacterial SSU rRNA". It matches the Rfam family "Bacterial small subunit ribosomal RNA", at positions 83 to 461 of the family's 1533-position model. The record is from RNAcentral. Lineage: Bacteria; Pseudomonadati; Pseudomonadota; Gammaproteobacteria; Enterobacterales; Yersiniaceae.
UCUGGGUGACGAGCGGCGGACGGGUGAGUAAUGUCUGGGAAACUGCCUGAUGGCGGGGGAUAACUAGUGGAAACGGUAGCUAAUACCGCAUAACGUCGCAAGACCAAAGUGGGGGACCUUCGGGCCUCACGCCAUCAGAUGUGCCCAGGUGGGAUUAGCUGGUAGGUGGGGUAACGGCUCACCUAGGCGACGAUCCCUAGCUGGUCUGAGAGGAUGACCAGCCACACUGGAACUGAGACACGGUCCAGACUCCUACGGGAGGCAGCAGUGGGGAAUAUUGCACAAUGGGCGCAAGCCUGAUGCAGCCAUGCCGCGUGUGUGAAGAAGGCCUUCGGGUUGUAAAGCACUUUCAGCGAGGAGGAAGGGUAAUGUGUU